This 467-nucleotide ribosomal RNA is filed under the name uncultured bacterium. RNAcentral describes it as "partial 16S ribosomal RNA". It matches the Rfam family "Bacterial small subunit ribosomal RNA", at positions 28 to 507 of the family's 1533-position model. The record is from RNAcentral.
GACGAACGCUGGCGGCGUGCUUAACACAUGCAAGUCGAACGGAAAGGCCUCUUUCGGGGGGUACUCGAGUGGCGAACGGGUGAGUAACACGUGAGUAACCUGCCCUUGACUUUGGGAUAACUUCAGGAAACUGGGGCUAAUACCGGAUAGGAGCUCCUGCUGCAUGGUGGGGGUUGGAAAGUUUCGGCGGUUGGGGAUGGACUCGCGGCUUAUCAGCUUGUUGGUGGGGUAGUGGCUUACCAAGGCUUUGACGGGUAGCCGGCCUGAGAGGGUGACCGGCCACAUUGGGACUGAGAUACGGCCCAGACUCCUACGGGAGGCAGCAGUGGGGAAUAUUGCACAAUGGGUGGAAGCCUGAUGCAGCAACGCCGUGUGCGGGAUGACGGCCUUCGGGUAGUAAACCGCUUUCGCUCAUGACGAAGCUUUGUGUGACGGUAGUGGGUAAAGAAGCACCGGCUAACUACGUG